AGGAGGCAGCAGUGGGGAAUCUUGGACAAUGGGCGAAAGCCUGAUCCAGCCAUGCCGCGUGAGUGAUGAAGGUCUUCGGACUGUAAAACUCUUUUCUGAGGGAAGAACCGCCCCGCGAGGAAAUGCGCGGGGUUUGACGGUACCUCAGGAAUAAGCAACGGCUAACUCCGUGCCAGCAGCCGCGGUAAUACGGAGGUUGCAAGCGUUGUUCGGAAUGACUGGGCGUAAAGGGAGCGCAGCCGGCCCGAUUAGUCUGGAGUGAAAGCCCGGGGCUUAACCCCGGAGGGUCUUCGGAUACUGUCGAGCUCGAGUACGGAAGAGGAGAGUGGAAUUCCAGGUGUAGCGGUGAAAUGCGUAGAUAUCUGGAGGAACACCGGUGGCGAAAGCGGCUCUCUGGUCCGAUACUGACGGUCAGGCUCGAAAGCGUGGGGAGCAAACGGGAUUAGAUACCCGAGUAGUCCA
This 462-nucleotide ribosomal RNA is filed under the name uncultured bacterium. Its description in RNAcentral is "bacterial SSU rRNA". It matches the Rfam family "Bacterial small subunit ribosomal RNA", at positions 343 to 797 of the family's 1533-position model. The record is from RNAcentral.